GACGAACGCUGUCGGCGUGCUUAACACAUGCAAGUCGAACGGAAAGGCCUGCUUUCCCUUGUGGAUUGCGGGUACUCGAGUGGCGAACGGGUGAGUAACACGUGAGUGAUCUGCCCCCAACUUGGGUAUAAGCCUGGGAAACUGGGUCUAAUUCCCGAUAGGACUGCAGGGUGGUGCCUGUGGUGGAAAACGAUUUUCUAGUGGUUGGGGAUGAGCUCGCGGCCUAUCAGCUUGUUGGUGGGGUAAUGGCCUACCAAGGCGGCGACGGGUAGCCGGCCUGAGAGGGUGGACGGCCACAUUGGGACUGAGAUACGGCCCAGACUCCUACGGGAGGCAGCAGUGGGGAAUAUUGCACAAUGGGCGGAAGCCUGAUGCAGCGACGCCGCGUGGGGGAUGACGGCCUUCGGGUUGUAAACUCCUUUCGACCGCGAGGAAGCCACCUGGUUGGAAGGGUGGUGACGGUAGUGGUAGAAGAAGCACCGGCUAACUACGUG
This 494-nucleotide ribosomal RNA is filed under the name uncultured bacterium. Its description in RNAcentral is "partial 16S ribosomal RNA". It matches the Rfam family "Bacterial small subunit ribosomal RNA", at positions 28 to 507 of the family's 1533-position model. The record is from RNAcentral.